Molecule: long non-coding RNA, 3091 nt
Organism: Chinchilla lanigera (long-tailed chinchilla)
Lineage: Eukaryota; Metazoa; Chordata; Mammalia; Rodentia; Chinchillidae
Source: Ensembl
AUGUUAUACUCUCGCAUCGAUUUUCUACAAGUUCUAAUAUUGAAGACAAGGAGAGUUCUUCCAUCAGCUUCCAGCCAACAGAGAACAGAGCCUGUUAAAACUCCCAUAAGAGCUUCCAAGGAAGGCAACAGUGAUGGAUUACAGACUGCCCUGGAAGCGAGGACAGGUGCUUGCAUGAACACAGGGAAUGCAGUUUCUGGGCUCAAGAACUAGAAGCGGAGAGGAGGCUAAGACGCUGGAGGGAAAGAGGAAAUUCAGGACAGAAGAAAGAUGGAUGGUGGGAAGAUCUUCAGGAUCUCUUAGAGGAAAAGGUAAGUCGAAGAUGUAGCAGAGAAAGAAGCAGCAACAAACCAAGGAAUGGAUGGAGGCAACUGCUAUGCCAAGGUGGAAGAGGCAAGGAAAGCCUCCUGCUCCCAGACUCUGAGAAAUGUAAUUCUGCUAACACCUUGAUUUUGACUUCUGGACUCCAGCACGUGGGAAAAUAAACUUAUAUUGGUUUAAACCACUCAUUUUGCAAUUUGGUACAGCAGCCAUAGCACCCACAGAGCUUUUGGAACUGGGAAAUAGGAAUAGACUGAAAAGGGACUGUGAGGAAAGAGAGGAAGCUCUGGGUCAUCUUCUAGGCUCAGGUGACUUCCUAAGCAACUGCAGGUAAACUAAGUCAAUUCUGAUAAUGGCCUACAUUGUCUCUGUGUUCUUAUCUUAAAAAUGGGAAUAAGAGUGUUUCCCACCUCGUAUACUUGUGGGAAGGAUUAAAUGAGUUCCUAACUGCAAAGAGCUUAGCAAAGCAUCUGGCAUGGUAUCUAUACUGUAUCAGUGUUAGCUUUUAUUUCUGCUGCUGUUGCUGCUAUUGUUUAUUAUGAUUAUUUACCAGAUUGCACAUGCCUUUCUGAUUAUUGCAGAGCCUAUUUGAAUAAUUUCAUUUACAUGUGUUUAUAUAGAAAAAAAGAUGAGAAGUCCAUUUUCCAAAAUAUCAUAAACAGUUAUUUCUUGGUGAUGGAUUGGCCAUAGAAUUUUAUUGGCUUCUAUUUGCCUGUAGUUUCUAAAUUCUCAGCAACAAGUGCAUAUUACUUUGGUAAUAAAAACAUGAAAGUUUUGUUUUCUUUUUGUUUUUGAAAGAUUGCUUUGUUUUAACACUUAAUAAAACUGGAGAAGCCAGGCAAUUCUAACAAGUUCGUAGAGAACGUUGCAUAUAAUUUUUUAAGCCCUAAGAUUUGUAAGAAUUUUUAAUUAGUAACUGUGGACAAGAUGGGAACUGGUGUUGGGCACAGAAAACAGACUUGGCAGCCACUUUUAAAGGGUUAUGUGUGGGCCAAAGUCAGAUUCUGAUAUGCUGGAAUAUUUCUCCAGUUUGUGACUGCAACUCCACCAUAGUAGAUUGAGUCUUCUCUCUAGGGAAAUUAUUUCUGGGAAGAAAAGCACAUGUGGUCACUACAGACCAGGCUUAAUCAACCUGGACACUAUUGACAUUUAGGCUAGAUCAUUCUUUGUUGUAGGGGAUGUCUUGUGCAGAGUGUCUUGCUUAGCAGUCUUCCUGACUUCUACCCACUAGACGCCAUAGCAACUACUCUCAUUCAGUUUUGACAACCAACAAUUCAUACAGAUAAUCUUAGGAAUCCAUUGGCUGGCGAAGGGGCACGGUGAUGUCCUUCCUGUUGAAGACCACUGCACAGCAACAUCUAAUGUUGCUUCCUCCGGAUUCUGUACAGAGAAACCCUGGCCUGAGAUUCUAGACCACGUCUUUGGAAAGGGGCAAUGACUAGAUGAAAUCAUGUGAGCUGUGGAUUAGCAAUGCCUGGGCUGUCAAUCAGUCCUAGUGCUCUCUAGCUAUGUUACCUUGGGAAGGUGCCAAACUCCCCCAUGUGCAGUUUUCUUACUAUGAAGUAGAAUUAGCAGCACCAACAUUUACUGAUUUUUAUGUGAAUGAGAAAUAAUGUUUAGGUCACAUUGCCUUACGCCUUCUACCCAGUAGGGCUUAAUAAAUACCUGCUUCUUUCCUGGAACAUUGGUGGGUGUGUCUCACAGGAAGGGGAUUAAUUAAUGAUACUGUAUGUAAUGAUACUGACCCUCCCCUUCAAAAAACUCAUCAAUCAAAUUAGGCACAUGCUUUUUUAAUUAAAGAAAUCCAAUAUUCCGAAACUACUUUGUCUCCACCCCAAAGCCUCCAGUAAAAAUAACACAUCCAAAAGCUAACUUGAUGCAAACUGAUGAGUUAUUUUCUUUUUGUAGCUUAGAAGUGUCUGAACUAAGAGCCCUUAUCACUGAGCCUCAGCUGUCAUAGGAAUCCUUUAAUCAUGACUGUCCUUUUGGAAAAAUAAUGCAGAUUUGGGGUGAGACUCAGGAUGUUGAACAAGGGGGACACAGUGCCGGUGGCUACCCUGCCCCUUCCUGAUGGCUGUGAAUGGUUUUAAUCUGCUUCCACUGUUAAUCUGAAAUUUGGAGAUAUUUGGGGACAGCCUAAUUAGGUAGAUGUAAGAUGAGAGCGAAUUUAUUUUUGUCCAACACAUAGCAUGGAAGUGAAUGCAUCAACAAUGCAUAUUAAUCCAGGUGGUCCUUUGGGGCCUGUCACUCCUUGAGCCACCGUGUGUGUUUAUGAUGCAACCAUGGUGGUAAUGCACUCUCAGAGUCCUUCAAGAGCAGUGAUGGUGAACUUUCUAGAACUCUAAAAGGUGCAAACAAUCCACCAUAGUCACACCCUCACUGAUCUAGAGGAUGCUUGAAAUGUCUGAGGUUAUUUCUCUGUGGAGCGGAAACUUUGCUGAGCCUCUGUUUUUCUCAGCUUUACAAUGCCGUGGUGUAGGUUGAGUAGGCCUUCUCCAAAAUGCUUGUGACCAGAAGUGUUUCUGAUUGCAGGGUUUUUCAGACUGUGAAAUAAUUGCAUAGACCUCACUAGCUGAGCAUCUCCAAUCCAAAACUCUGAAAUCUGAACAGUCCUACAUCCAUAACUUUAUAAGUAUUGUGCUAGUCUUGGAUUUGGAAGUAUUUUGGAUUUUCACAUUUGGAAUAAUCAAACUGUACUAAGGUUACCCAUUAAAAUAUUUGUUAAACAUUUAUUUUCUGCAGAACACUGCCCAUGAUGCCAGGGCAAUAG